GACUGCUGGGUAACAAAAUUGGGUUGAUUCAACCCAAUUUGGGUUGAAAAUCGAUCUUUAUCUAUAACCCAGCAGUGCUGGGUUGGGAACGCGGACGUGAAAGAGAGCACGCACGUCACGUCAACAUGCAGGGACAUCAACGUGAGAAACCGCCAUUUUCUUUGCGCUGUCUUUGAGGGGAAGCGAGUGAAAUUCUGUGUGAGACGUAAGUUAUUUAGUGUGUAUUUAACAAUUUUCAUAAGAAAUAACACACUUAGUUUACUUAGUAUAAUAUACACGUGCUUUUUUUUCUGUUUCUCCGCCUGAUGGCCGACUUGUUGCUCCGCCUCACGCUGACCUGUGCUCGCCUUAUGGCUGAACUGUUGCUCCGAGUCCGCCUGACGAGCCACCUGUUUCUCCGGAUCUGUUUCUCCGCCUAACGGCGACCUGUUUCUGCGGACCUGUUUCUCCGGACCUGUUUCUCCGCCUAACGGCGACCUGUUUCUCCGGACCUGUUUCUCCGCCUAACGCCCGAGCUGUUGCUCCGCCUAACGCCUGACCUGUGCUCGCCUCACGCCCGACCUGUUGCUCCGCCUCACGCCCAGCCUGUUGAUCGGUGGACGGGUAAGCGCGCAUGGCAUCGGAAGGAGCUCGAAAAGUAUAAGGUGAUGACAGUAAGUAACGUUACUGUGAUUUGUGAUCUUUCUGGGGUGUUAACUGUAAAGCAAUGGAUAAUUGCGUGAAAAUCAAACUAAAAGAAUGCAAUCUUGAGGACUUAAUCCCCACAUUUGAAGGAGCGAACCUUUCCUCGUUUUUAGGUCAAUUUGAAUACAAUUCAGAGGGGUGGCAUGGGGGCGCAGUGGGUAGUGCUGUCGCCUCACAGCAAGAUGGUCGCUGGUUUGAGCCUUGGAUGGGUUUCCCCUCCACAGUCCAAUGACAUGCGGUGUAGCUGAAUUGGAUUGGGACCAAUAUUGCUGAGUAUCUUCAUCCAUUGAAUUCAAGAAUCUAUUGAGUUUCCUCAUGUUCUCAUCCUUGGAGACCACCACUUCUUUCAAGCCUUUGCUCACGUGCUGUGCUAUUUAUUAUUGCAAAGUACAUUACUUGCCAAAGUGGACGUUUGCUAUAAAGCAUUCUACAUCUUUGGUGUGAACUACCCCAAGCAGUGUUCCCUGGUGUGGCAGACUGUGGUUUAUGGACAUCCUAGGGAGGAGACACUAGCAGUAAGGGUUCUGCUAGCAUUAAUUUUUGCUGACAAACAGUAAUCAUUAAUACUGUGACCUCACUGCUUCCUUGGAUUCUGUGUUCUUUAACUUGUACUUUGGAUUGUGGGGGAAAAGGAGCACCCAGAGAAAACCCACACGAACAC
Non-coding RNA from Danio rerio (zebrafish), 1345 nucleotides. The record is from RefSeq and is a predicted model, not a curated record. NCBI's taxonomy places the organism in Eukaryota, Metazoa, Chordata, Actinopteri, Cypriniformes, Danionidae.